This 774-nucleotide ribosomal RNA is filed under the name uncultured cyanobacterium. Its description in RNAcentral is "bacterial SSU rRNA". It matches the Rfam family "Bacterial small subunit ribosomal RNA", at positions 51 to 868 of the family's 1533-position model. The record is from RNAcentral. Lineage: Bacteria; Bacillati; Cyanobacteriota.
ACACAUGCAAGUCGAACGGUCUUUUCGGAGAUAGUGGCGGACGGGUGAGUAACGCGUAAGAAUCUACCUUCAGGUUGGGGACAACCACUGGAAACGGUGGCUAAUACCCAAUGUGCCGAGAGGUGAGAGGCUUGCUGCCUGAAGAAGAGCUUGCGUCUGAUUAGCUAGUUGGUGGGGUAAGAGCCUACCAAGGCGACGAUCAGUAGCUGGUCUGAGAGGAUGAUCAGCCACACUGGGACUGAGACACGGCCCAGACUCCUACGGGAGGCAGCAGUGGGGAAUUUUCCGCAAUGGGCGAAAGCCUGACGGAGCAAUACCGCGUGAGGGAGGAAGGCUCUUGGGUUGUAAACCUCUUUUCUCAGGGAAGAACAAAAUGACGGUACCUGAGGAAUAAGCAUCGGCUAACUCCGUGCCAGCAGCCGCGGUAAUACGGAGGAUGCAAGCGUUAUCCGGAAUGAUUGGGCGUAAAGGGUCCGCAGGUGGCAUUGUAAGUCUGCUGUUAAAGAGUUUGGCUCAACCAAAUAAAAGCAGUGGAAACUACAAAGCUAGAGUGUGGUCGGGGCAGAGGGAAUUCCUGGUGUAGCGGUGAAAUGCGUAGAUAUCAGGAAGAACACCGGUGGCGAAGGCGCUCUGCUAGGCCAAGACUGACACUGAGGGACGAAAGCUAGGGGAGCGAAUGGGAUUAGAUACCCCAGUAGUCCUAGCCGUAAACGAUGGAUACUAGGCGUAGCUCGUAUCGACCCGAGCUGUGCCGUAGCUAACGCGUUAAGUAUC